AUUCCUAAAAAUGCUUAAAUCACUUGAAUUUGAAUUUGGUCAUAGCUUUGGAAAUAAAGUUUUUUUUAGAUUCCAAUUGACCUAAAAUUUGGUAAGUUCAUUGGAAACAACCUAGUAAGAAAUACUCACUGCUAUGCGGUUAUGGUUCUUGAGGUCGUUAAGAUAAAUUUUAAGUUGUUCUUUUGGAUUAAAAUGUGAGUUAGUAUGAAAACAAUCCUUUAUAUCAUUUUAUUUAUGUUAAAUAUGGUACAUGAAUACACAUGAUAAUUUAACAUGAAUUGAUAUAUGAUAAGGAUAUAUGCGCUUUUCAAUAUGCAGAUGAUCCAAAGGCUGCUGCAAAUUCUCUAAAGCCCCUUCUUGAGAAAGCUGAAGCUGUUGUUUCUAAGAAUUGACAGUCUCAAACCCCUCUUAAAAUUGGGGCAACUGCAGGGCUGAGGUUGUUAAAGGGUGAUUCAUCCCAAAAGAUUCUGCAAGCAGUACAUUUUUUACCCUUUAUUUCCCUUCAUUAAUCGGAAAAUUGAUCUUAAUUAUUGUAUUAUUUGAUAAUCCUUCAUAGCACAAAUUAAUCUAACUAGUUUAAUUAUUAUUUUUUUCUUAUUAUCAUUCCUUGAUUAUGUUGGGAUAUAUAAUAUUAACCAUGGAAUAUAUACUAUUAAUCAUGAGUUUGGAUAUAGUAUUUAUCAUAGAACAAUUGUUUAUUCAAUUUUAAUAAAAGCUUUAAUAGAUCAUA
Molecule: long non-coding RNA, 730 nt
Organism: Solanum dulcamara
Lineage: Eukaryota; Viridiplantae; Streptophyta; Magnoliopsida; Solanales; Solanaceae
Exons: 2
Source: RefSeq, a predicted model, not a curated record